RNAcentral lists this long non-coding RNA (199 nucleotides) under Sorghum bicolor (sorghum). RNAcentral's name for it is "long non-coding RNA (SBIC_LNC008205)". Lineage: Eukaryota; Viridiplantae; Streptophyta; Magnoliopsida; Poales; Poaceae. The record is from RNAcentral.
ACCCAUGUCACAUCAGUUCUUGGACCAAAUAAAGAACUUUAAAAAUCAUGUUACCUCAUUGCUACCUGUAGCCCAUCAAGGACAAUAUGAAAAAAGAAGAAACAAAAGAACAAGCUCUAACUAUUUGCAAGCUGGCAAAUUAAAUCUCACAUGUACAUAGACAAACACGAUCAUAAUAACACCCGUGCCUCCUCCACAC